Molecule: unclassified non-coding RNA, 7917 nt
Filed under: Bombyx mandarina (wild silkworm)
Lineage: Eukaryota; Metazoa; Arthropoda; Insecta; Lepidoptera; Bombycidae
Description: polypyrimidine tract-binding protein 2, transcript variant X1
Rfam family: mir-2807 microRNA precursor family (bases 3105-3188)
Source: RNAcentral
CGAGUGUUACAGUCGUCCGAUUUUCGAGCUUUUAAUUUAAGUUUUCAAACGGCUGAUACCGUUCACCUGUGGGAUUCCUGUGUUUUACCUGCGCGCGCACUGAUUUCUCUAUAAAGGUUGGCGCAACUAUGAUGUCCUGCCCUUUGCCACUGCCGCUGUUGCCGGCGUUACAUCCGCAGCCAGCAUUAGCUUCAGACUUCCCAAUCCACAUUGGAAUAAAGAGAGGCUCCGACGAGCUUCUGUCGCAGAGUGGCGUCACCGUCAUGGCGCCCGCCGCUCCGCACCACGCCGACAAUAACAAUCAGGACUCUGCUGCCAAGAAGGUGAAACUGGAACAAAAUGUCGGCAAGCCGUCUCGAGUCAUUCACAUACGGAACAUACCGAACGAGACGACGGAAGCGGAGAUCAUACAACUCGGAUUGCCCUUCGGAAGAGUCACCAACGUUCUAGUGCUCAAAGGCAAAAAUCAGGCGUUCCUUGAAAUGGCAGAGGAGAUAUCUGCGGUGGCUAUGGUCGCGUACUUCGGAGGAUGUGUAGCGCAGUUGCGUGGCCGAGCGGUUUACGUUCAGUUCUCCAACCACAAGGAGCUAAAAACCGAUCAGACGCACAGCAAUGCCUCAGCAUCGGCGCAAGCGGCUUUACAGGCGGCACAAGUCAUAUCGAAUAGCGCUGGUGCGGCCAUUGUUGCGGGCGGCGGUAACGCUUUGCAACCAGCUAAUGGCGGUACAGAAAUACAGGGCGGUCCCAAUACAGUACUGCGUGUCAUCAUAGAGCAUAUGUUAUAUCCCAUCGUUCUGGACGUCCUCUACUCGAUCUUCCAACGCUACGGCAAGGUGCUCAAGAUUGUAACUUUCACUAAAAACAAUUCAUUCCAAGCUCUCAUUCAGUAUCCAGACACGGUGUCGGCGCAAACAGCAAAAACGGCGCUCGACGGGCAGAAUAUCUACAACGGGUGCUGCACACUCCGCAUCGACUAUUCGAAGAUGACUUGCCUGAACGUGAAAUACAACAAUGACAAGUCGCGGGACUACACGAAUCCGACGCUUCCCUCCGGAGACGGCGACGCUCAUCAGCUGUUGACCAGCGGAGGUGUAUUGGCGCCCCAGUUCCUGGGCUUGGGUUCGGGAUUGGCUUCACCGUAUGGUGUAGGUGUCGGUGGAGUGGGGCUCCCAGCCUUCGGAGCUCUCACUCUCACACCAGCCUCGCCUGCUCUGCGAGCUCUUGCUGCCCCACCUUUGCCAUUAGCCACAGUCCUACUGGUGUCUAACCUAAACGAAGAGAUGGUCACGCCUGACGCUCUCUUUACCCUUUUCGGCGUGUAUGGUGACGUGCAACGGGUGAAGAUACUUUACAACAAGAAGGAUUCGGCUUUGAUUCAGAUGGCAGAACCGCACCAGGCCCAUCUAGCCCUGACCCACAUGGACAAGUUACGCGUGUUCGGCAAGGCAAUGCGCGUUAUGCUAAGUAAGCACCAAACUGUUCAGCUCCCUAAAGAAGGACAACCUGACGCUGGUCUUACCAGGGACUACUCGCAGAGCCCACUCCACAGAUUCAAGAAACCCGGUAGCAAAAAUUACCAGAACAUCUACCCGCCAAGCGCCACUCUGCAUCUGUCGAACAUUCCUGCCACCGUGACUGAAGAGGAUAUCAAAGAUGCAUUCUCCAAACGGGGAUUCACAAUUAAGGCUUUUAAAUUUUUCCCGAAGGACCGCAAAAUGGCUCUGGUCCAACUGUCGUCCAUCGACGACGCAGUGACCGCGCUCAUCAAGAUGCACAACUACCAGCUCUCGGAAUCCAACCACCUCAGGGUGUCUUUCUCCAAAUCAAGCAUCUAAACGGAUUCGACCGGACUAUCACACUGAAUAUCACACAAUACUUGGCAGUCGCGUCCGUUCUAUUGGAUCUAAACUAUAAUUGAAGAUUCUUACGGUACUGUUUGUCAUAAUUAUUUUAUAUUGUAUCGACGGAGACUCGUGUUCCAGUAACGCAUAUCAAUUCGAUGCGACUGUCAAUUACAUCUCACCUCUCAUAAAAAUCGAGAAUUUUCGCUCGACUGAAAAUUUUAUAUAUGUAUGUAUUACGCUUACUCGGAUCAGUCUAUAGAUUAAGUGCUAUUCUAUUUUCUUAUAUGAAUAACAUUUAACUGUUACAAUAUAAUUAAAUCUAAGAUGAAUCGUCACAUGAACAUUAAGCCGAAUCAUGCUUGUUUUAUCAAAAUAGUAUCUAACUUCCAUAACCGUUGUUACACAGGAGAGGAUUUCUAUUUUGUGUGAUAUUCGUUCUAAUUAUUUGUUUACGUACGUUUUUAUUCUUGUAGACAAUUCGUGCGUUGAUUUCUAUAUUGUAUCAACAUAAUUUGAAUUUAUACGAAUUAAAAUAACAGUUUUAUUUUGCAAUUAGAUUGCGCUAGAUUCGUUUGGCAAUAUUAUGUGAAAUGGAACGUAUUUUGAUAGCAAUGUAUGACAUUGCCACGCUUGUUGUUUUCAAUUCAGGAUACGGAAAUUUCCCUAAUUAUUAUUACAUUACAUUGUUAUUAUAUUCAUCGGUUACAAUAUUUACAAUAUGAUUUGCAGUUACAACUCUUGAAUUGUAUUUUAUAAAAUAUAUUUUAUUCGCUCUUAUUAAAAAUGCACAAUUUACUAUAUUAUUAUUAUUAUAUUUUAAUAGCGUUUUCUUUAUAAAUGUAGUUUUGUGCGCAUACACAUUUUUUUAAAUUAUUAUUAUUAUUAUUUUAAAUACAGAAAUGUCAUAUUUAGAAAUGUGUAUGUGUGUGCAAUAUUAGUUGUAGAAGUAAUUGUUAAAUAAAAUAUAUUAGACACAACUGUCUUCUGCUGCCGGAUAAUCGGUGUCCAUCUUCAUGCUUCCAUACUUGUUUCGUUAUUUAGGUAAAUAUUAUCUUUGCUUCGAUAAUAUAAUAGUUAUUGACGAUUAGUUAGUGUAAUCACAGUUCUAUAGCUAAGCCUCUAGUUUUAAAUCACUUUUUAAGCGUGGCCGCUCACGUCACGUUUUCAAAUUCGGUUUCGAGAACCAGGAAAUGCGAAUACGAUAAUAAUGUUUCUGUGUGCUUUAGUGCGAGUUUUUUAACGUUCUCGAUAGCGUAAAAGUUAGCUCAUAUUUGUAUGGAAUGGGAUCGUUUGCCUACGUUUGUCGCUAAGGGCGCUGUUCCAACUGCAUACAAAAUUGGACUAACUUUUACGCGAACGUUAACAAACUCUCACUAAUCACACUAUUCACGUUUCCGUCCGGAAAAAUUAAGAACGUGUGUUUUUAUUUCUUUUUCCCUACUUAAGCGUUGGUAGUCUAAGCGGCUAUUUCAACAACUCACGGACCGAUAGGUGAGCUCACGGGCUCAACCUGAGAGAAUUACUCACACUGGCCCUAACAAGAGCAGUGAUUCGCUGUACCUACCACCGGAUCGGAAUCGCGAUCCACGGAGAAAACCCGAAACUCAGUGGGUUAAGCGUGUGCGCUGUAUAGAGCACUUCAACGAAAUGCAUUGCAUUCGGAAAUCGAACACGGGUUUCCCGUUUCCCUUUCGGAACCUAAUAAGGAAAAAUGGCGUGCGCGGUUAAACUAUAACGUUAUGUUCAGUGACAUAAUAGUGACAUGAUGCAUUUAUUUCGAUGAUAAUUUAAAUUAAUGGUAGCUACAACAUUAAAUAAUGUAAAAUAAAUGCUCGUGCAUGCGUUUCACUAAACGAUUAAUUUAAGGUUAUUAUUUAUUUUGUCCCUAUACGCGGGCAGUGUGACCAGCUCGAAUGCGACAUUACAGUUGGCAGGUAAAGUCGACGCGGUCGGUCACACUACCUUACUACGGGCUCAUAAGGACUCGCAUCCAGGACCGUAAAACUAUCUAAAGAAAAAAAAAAGGUCACACUCGCUCGUGAGAGGCGACAAGGGCGAUUGCGAAAGUAUUAGCACGAUCUGAUAUUGCUCUAAUACAUAAAUAAUCAGCAGUAUUUACACUAGGUCACAAUAGUUUACUUUAAUAAAACAGUAUUUUAGAUGAAUAACUGUCGCUCGGUUCUUCGUAUUGUAAAUAAUAUGUUCCUUUGUUUCAACUUCGGCCGCCUAAACUUCACAUACUCUCGCACUCCGCUAAUAAAAAAAAAUCACGAUUGGUUCUCACACAUGUUCGCCUUCUUGAAUUAAUUUGAAAUGCGUCUAGUCCAAUAAGAAGGAGAUUAAUGUUUUGUAUUUUUUUUUUUCGUUAAGUAAAUUUACUGACACGGGAAAAUUUCAACACACUCUUCCGAACGUUUUUUUUUUUUUUUAAUUUAAUGAAAUUAUAUUAAAUAGAAUACCAAUUGUAGUGAGUUCGGUCUUAGACGUCUCGAAAUACGGCCUUUAGGACCUUUUUGAGUGUUCAGUUACACGUCCAGUUUAUGUGAUUAGGCAAAGCAUGCGUGGAACAGAUAUUUGAAUUUAUGACAAAAUAAACAACGCCGUCUUCGUUUGAAUCGAUUGAAUUUGAUUGAAAUGCACCUUUAUAAAAUGUAAAUUAUCGCGACCCGCCACUAUGGAGAUUCGAUUCGGAGGAAUGAUUAACCGGAGAAGGAUUAUGAAUUGUAAAUGUAAAUGUAGCGCAUUAUUUUAUCUAGCUGAUCAUUACGCACGCCACAUCAUAUAGCUCCAGAUUUAACAUAUCUACCGUAGUCACAAAAUAUCACAUAGUCACAAAAAUAUCUUUACUUUAUAGGUUAUUUCUGAAAAAAAAAAGAAAUAUAUAUAAUAACGCAUAUUUACACAAUUAAAAAAUGUAUAGUAUACAUCACUUAUCGUAAUUAAAAAUAGAGCUUAGUAAGAUGAUUUAACUAAAAAAAAAUAAAAAUAAAAAUAUUAGAUUGUCAUUACGAUUUAAGAGUUAAUAGUGAAAAUUUAAUCAUACAAAUCGUAUUAACCAGUACCUAUAUACGGUAAGAAUGUAGUUAUUCGGUUUAGAUAAUGUUAGGUGACCAGGGUGUGGUGAUAUUUUGCACGUUUUUGAAAAUGUUUUAAUAUAAGAUGCAGGAUCACGUGCCUGUGCUAUGAAACGUCUCGGAAUGUGGUACGCGACUGGUGGUGGUCUGUUUGCGAUAAAAAUGGUAAACGCAUUUGUAAUUUUAAAAUUAUUAUUAUUAUUAUUAUUAUUAUUACAUAUUUAAUUGAAUAAAUAAAUCAACUAUGCAAAAAGGAACUUACAUAUCCACUAUAUAGAGUAGAACGCUACACACAAAAUUUUUGAAAUUCCUAUUUAAAUUAUUUGUUCGCUUGUAUAGAUAUCACACUCAUAAUUCAUACAGUUAACACUUGUAGUGCUUCUGCUCAAUUUGUAGGGGAUUAUAUACAUAAGUGUGUAGCGUCUUUGGGCCUAAGUUUUCUUUUUACAUUGUAUUGACUAAUAGAUAAUUAUUAUAGGAAUUUAUGUGUUUAGAAAAGUAUUUUAAAUAUUUAGAUAAUAAUCUUAAUGUUAUUAAAAAUAAUAGAUCAAUGUUUAGGAUGAGAUGCCAAAUUUAAAGUCAAUACACAUUAUUUUAGGUAAAAUGAUUAAUGAAGUAAUCUUAACAUUUAUUGAAAAGUUGAUGAAAAUGUUACAGUUAAAUUAUAUUACAGAGUUUUAUUAAACGCAAUAUAUUAUGCAAUUGUAUUCAUUGUGAAUUAGAUAUUGUUUCAAUUUGUUAGUUAAAGUUGUGCAUUGAUAAUUGUGAAGUUGAUUCAGAUUUUUCUUGAUUACUUCAUUUGUUUCUGAUUCCACGUUUCCCUUAGCCAAUGCUGGUCUUAUUACAAAUUAAUACUAACUGUAUUUAUAUACUUCAUGAAUACUAGGUGUUAUUACUACAACACAUAUCUCCUCAUAUCAUCCAGUGCUUAAACUUUAUUGCGCUUCGUAAGUUUUCGUCUAUUGCCAUGUUAACUAUAUUUUUAUAUUCUUUAUUGAGAAGAAUAAAAGCCAACAUAUCAAUAAACAGAAACUUAGCUAUCAAUGCUUUUCGAGUUCUUCACUUGGCUUUGAAGUUCUGUUUUCUUUCACUUCGCCGCGACACAUUAAUCUGAAUAAUCGUUUUUUUCUUAUAUUUUAAUCGUUUGGUAAGUUAGUGUCUACUACACCUAUUUCUUUAUUUUUAAUUUUAAGCCUUUUUUGUGUGUGGUCAAUUUCAUUUUUAUUUUCAAUUUCAUAAUUAAACUAUUAUUAUCAUUGAUACUUUUUGUUCAUUAUUUUUCUCCAAUCCCAUCCUAUUACCUUUUUCCUAUUAUUUUUUUAAACUUACAAUGUACCAAUUGUAUACCGUACACCAUAGGUAACUAGAUGUUUGAGAUUGCCAUUUUCACUAAGUCCGUAUUCUGUAUGUCAGUUUUGAAAUCAAUAAAAUCAAUGUUUUAUCUUAUUAAUACCUGAAUACAAAAUAAUAUCGUUAUUUCGGUAAUCAUUUCGUUGCGUAAUAAAUGAGAAAUCAUUGUAAAUAAAAUUUAUAAAAUAUUAAAUGGGAUCAAUAUAAUGAAAAAAAAUAUGUACAAUUAGUACACAAUUGGUAUUCUAGACUUAUUCGUACUUUAGAUCUAACUUCUAUCUGUCAUUAAUCUACACGAUCUUACACUAACUUCAAAACGCUUCGAAGUACUACUAUAGAAAUAUGAAAUUCGUCUUGCGUUCACACGAGUGAUCUGACUAGUAAAUGAAUAUUAGGAAAUGCUUAAAUGAAUUUUUGUAAAGGAGUAAGGGACUUAAAUAUCGCCAAUGAUAAAUAUGAUAUGUUUUAUAUAAUAUUAUCAAAUGGAAUAUACUACGCACAGGGUAUGUUGUGAAUUUUUAAUGCUGUCCAGGGGCUAAGUGAAGCCCACGACAGUUAUUUUGUGUCCGUGCCACGUCCCUUAUUCCCAAAACGCGAAGAACUGAAUCAUUCCGUAUUUAAACUGUUGUCUUAGCAAAAUAUAUACAACUGCCAAUCGAAAGAGGUUUUCCCACGGGACCCGACUCACCACAAUGUCCAAGUAAGGGAAAAGAUUAUAUUAAAAUUACACACUCAUAAUAUCAUAUCUAUUUUAGAGAUUAGAUGAUACUCAUAAAUUUAAGUAUCAAAUGUUAAGGAAAUCGGGUGAAUCUAAUACAUGGCAGUUGUAAUCUUGUUAUAUUAUCUGCAAAUGUAAAUAUAAAAUACAAUUACGUUACAUAUAGUUACAUAUAAAAAUAUAUAGUAUCUACAUACAGUAAAGAAUAACAUAAUCAUUAUUGUAAGAUUAACUAAUUAAUUGUAUCCUAUUCUAAUUUCAAUAGGUAAAUCUAGUUUAAAUCUACUAAUCGAAAUAAAAAAAAACUUCCUAGCUAACAUUAGAUUACCGUGGCUCCUUGCUAAAUAAAUGAUCGUUAAGUUGUUUAUUUUAAAUGAAUUUAAUGGUGUGCAAAUCGAAGGGUUGUGUGUAAAGUUAAAAUAGUUUAAUAGAUUUAAACAAUCGUUCAUGUAACGUAAAAAAAUUGUUUUCUCAAACGUGCACAUCUACUUUAUUUAACCUAGACUGUUCUGGAACUAUCCAAAUUCAAUAUCAUAGCGUUUUAAUCGAUAUGCCAAAGACCAAUCAUUGGGACAUAAUAACAGGGAUCUAAUACUUACCUAUUUUUUUUUUCUUUUCACCACCUAACUUAAAUUCUCGAUAAUAAUAUACAUUUUAUGGACGUUACACGUUAUAAGCUCUAGCGGAAGAAUUAGUUAUAACGAGUAUUAAAUUGAAAAAUAAAAACAUAUUUUGAUGAUAGCCGUUCUUGAAGAUUAAGUAAUCGUUCUGUGAAGUUCAAAGGCCUCUUGAAGCCGGAAACGCUGAUGUCUACUUUACUGCAGAUAUAAAUUAUAAUAAUAUUACACUUCUUACAAUCUAAGUGACUACCCUAUUGAACUCUAGAUUUAUUCUUUGUGAUUUUAUAAUAAAAUAUAGUUGAAAAUAAUGA